Molecule: ribosomal RNA, 507 nt
Filed under: uncultured bacterium
Lineage: Bacteria
Description: bacterial SSU rRNA
Rfam family: Bacterial small subunit ribosomal RNA
Source: RNAcentral
GAUGAACGCUAGCGGCAGGCCUAACACAUGCAAGUCGAGGGGUAACAUAGGAGAGCUUGCUCUUUUGAUGACGACCGGCGCACGGGUGAGUAACGCGUAUACAAUCUGCCUUGUACAGGAGUAUAGCCCAGGGAAACUUGGAUUAAUCCUCCAUAGCCUAUAUAAAUAGCAUUAUUGAUAUAGUAAAGAUUUAUCGGUACAAGAUGAGUAUGCGUCCUAUUAGUCUGUUGGUAAGGUAACGGCUUACCAAAACUAUGAUAGGUAGGGGCCCUGAGAGGGGGAUCCCCCACACUGGUACUGAGACACGGACCAGACUCCUACGGGAGGCAGCAGUGAGGAAUAUUGGACAAUGGGUGAGAGCCUGAUCCAGCCAUGCCGCGUGCAGGAAGACGGCCCUAUGGGUUGUAAACUGCUUUUAUACGGGAAGAAACCCCCCAACGUGUUGGGGGCUGACGGUACCGUAAGAAUAAGGACCGGCUAACUCCGUGCCAGCCGCCGCCGUAACAC